AUACGGAGGGUGCAAGCGUUAAUCGGAAUUACUGGGCGUAAAGCGUACGUAGGCGGUCCGUUAAGUUAGAUGUGAAAGCCCCGGGCUUAACCUGGGAACUGCAUUUAAAACUGGCGAACUAGAGUUGAGUAGAGGGGAGUGGAAUUUCAGGUGUAGCGGUGAAAUGCGUAGAGAUCUGAAGGAACACCGGUGGCGAAGGCGACUCCCUGGACUCGAACUGACGCUGAGGUACGAAAGCGUGGGUAGCAAACGGGAUUAGAUACCCCAGUAGUCC
Molecule: ribosomal RNA, 274 nt
Filed under: uncultured bacterium
Lineage: Bacteria
Description: partial 16S ribosomal RNA
Rfam family: Bacterial small subunit ribosomal RNA
Source: RNAcentral